This is a long non-coding RNA of Triticum urartu, 3078 nucleotides long. RefSeq lists it as uncharacterized. The record is from RefSeq and is a predicted model, not a curated record. Lineage: Eukaryota; Viridiplantae; Streptophyta; Magnoliopsida; Poales; Poaceae.
UUCCUUUUUUUCCCUCUCCCCACGAUGGAAAGUAUUCCAUCCGUCCAUCUCUUUCCCCCAUGGAAAACCAAAUAUCUUGCCCACGGUCCCUUCCUCUCCAAUCUUUCUCUCUCAAAUCUCUCUACCCUAGAAACCAAACUAAUACAGAGCAAGCGCGGCGAUGGAUCUAAGAAACAUAUGGGGCCAUGGAUCUAGCGUUCCUGAUCUAGAUCAGGUUGUCCUCGAAUUCACCCUAAUCACGAUUUGGAUCAAAUCCUCAAUCUUUUGAAGUACAAUUUCUGGAUCAGGUUGUCCUCGAAUUCAUCCUAAUCACGAUUUGGAUCAAACCCAAUCUUUUGAAGUACAAUUUCUGUAUGCCUUAUGGAGAUCGGACCGGAGCACAACUAUGCCCAUCAGGUGUACUUAUAAUUAAUAUAUCUCUUGACUAUAUGCGACUACCUCGGGAUUCACAAGUCGUCUAACACCCUAGCCUGGUUUCCCGGCCACAUCUCUCAUGGGAGUAUAGGCAGCCCUUGCACAAGAGAUGCCGGAGAACCGGGAGUAACCCCAUCGCAUGUAGCUCAGUAUGCGUGCCAUCCAAGAAGCUGCUUCGAUCGCAGACUACAUGCUCAGGUCCAUGGCAUAGCAUAUACAUCAUGUACGUCAUGGAUGCAUGCAUAAAAGUGAGCUAGGACGUCAGACAAGUUAGUAUUCAUUGGUGCAAUCAUAUGCCGUGAUAAACUGGUCAAUGCAAGUUAGCAAACCGUCUGAGGAAAAAUAGACAACUGAUGGGAUCUCAAAGAUUGAAGAUACUGUGAUUCAGAUUGAGCGAGUACAUCAAAAGGAAUUAAAUGAGUACAAAUACCGUGAUUCCUAAUAUUUACAACUCUUGGAAUAUACAGGAUAGAAAAUUUUAAUUUUAGACUACGGGGUGAGAAGGUCAACAAUAUUAAUGUGGAUUCUUUCUGUCGUGUUGUCAUAGUAACAUCAACAACUGUCUGAUAUUUGAUUUUUGUGUAUUUCAUAUUAAAAGGAUGUAAGUAUUGUUAUAUGCGUAUAUUUAUUUAUAGGAAAGUUAAUAUCAGGUGCAUACAGAGUAGUCGAUGUUAUCUAUAGGUGCAUACAGAGUAGUCGUUGUCAUCUGUAGGUGCAAACAGAGUUUAUGUGGAUUUGAAUAUCAUCAGCUAAUCGUGUCCCUUUACUUCUACUAUGAAGAUGGGGUGAAACAUAAAUUGAUUUGCAAACAGGGGAAAGAGAGACCAAAGUAAAGAUUUCACAGCUCCUAUGGAGAUGAGGUGCCAAUUUGCUGUAUGAAAAAGCAUAAUCUGGAGGAAUACCAAUUGUAGCACUAAAUUAUUAUAUGCACUGAACACCGAGCAGAACUCUAUUGAAGAAUGAAGAUGCAUGCUCUUAGCUUAUUUCCUUGGAAUAAUGAUGUACGAUGCUUCCAUUUGAUUUUGACUUGGUGUAAACAUAUAGAUACAAAUCAAUACGUUAAUAGCAAAUCCAUAUGCCAUGGAAUAGAAUUUAUGUUUGUAGAUGCUCUAUGUUAGGAGCUCCUUCUAAUUAAAAAGUUGUUGAGUAAAGCCAACAGAUGAGUAACUUCUAGAUUAUAAUUUUUUUAUUCCAGGUUAAAUCUAACAAGAGACAUCACCAACCAAAAACCUAACAACUCAUCAACUUAGUUAUAAUGCUAUCCUAACUGUUAAGAGACAUAAUAACUAAAGAAGAUACAAAUUCUCAUUGGGAUGAGCUCUACAAACAGCUGGUACAUGACAAUGUAUGUGUGCUGGAAUGAGAAACUCACACACUGCGAAAGGUACGGCCUCUGAUGCUAUGGACUCUGAUGUUAUAGAAGCUAUGAUUUGUGAUGCUAAUCUUGCAUGUUCAGACCUGCUAUGAUCGAAUUUGCUCAAAUUAUUCGGUGGUGUAUUAAAUAACAUGCCCUUUUGUAGUUUGUAUUUGCUGACAUAUAUAAAAUUUCAUUUGGGCCAUUCGUUACAGUACUUCAAUUAUGUGUUCUUGAGCGACGAUUAAUACAUUAAUACCGAGGGAGUCCUCUAUCCAGUGAUUUUGUCGUACGUAAUAUUAUCUUACACAAGUUACUAUCAAUGGUAUAAUUUGAUCAGUGUUGUAUUCAGUUAGAAAGGAAUUUCUUUUCAGUGACUACCCUUCCAAAUUUUGUACCAAUAAUAGUUGUCUUUUGUAAAGAUAUUUCUCUAAAUAUUUUACUUCAUGAUCAGUGGUCUAGCUGGCACAAUUCUCUAAUAUAUUAUAUAAAUCAUUUUAACUUUUCAAAGUGACCGGAUUCUAUAUAGAUUGUUGGUUAUUGUGUGCUAUAGUUGUCUUAGUAGUGCUCGCACUCAUUAAUGGAUGAUUUUUUUACAGACUUCUCCUUCAAUACUUUUUUAAUAUGGUGAUGAAAUUCCGAAGAACAAUUCUUAUGCCCAUGGUAUGACCUGGGCACUGAGUAAUGAGUAAUGAGUAAUGCAAGCUCGGGUCUUGGUAGUGGGAUAAAUGGAAAAUCAUAUCGAUUAAUAACUAAAUACAAAACUAAAUUUGCAGGUUGGCCGGCGAGCGCUGGCACCAACCAGAGGAUGCAUUGGCGCACAGAGAAGUGCCAGUUCAUGCCGAUGAGCGAUGAUUGUCAAUGGAGAUUACAUGUGGCUGCGGAAGCAUAAAAAGCAUGGUGAUAAGAAAGGAUUGAUCAGGUUUGUAUUGUCUGACGCAUUUGUGCAAGAACCAAGUAAUUGCUACAGUACCAGUUAGGUUGCUCUGGGAGGACUUCUUUCUGCCAUAAGGAUUACAGCACCUUGAUUGAUACAUGGAGGACGCACCAAACAAGGAUUAUUUACUAUUGGAUCUACCGGCCAGAAAAACAGAGCACACGCCUGUGAUUGCCCAAGUCCAGAAGGGACAAGGCCACUAUGUAAUAUAUAUCCCAGUUAGCUCCAACACUUAAUUUCCCGUGCCUCCUGAUGUUAUUUACUAACUAGACUUAGGAAUGUGAGAAACGUCAUUUUGUAAUAUGCCUUGCUGGAGCAAGAUUGAAUUGCUGGACCAAGGUCUACAUCUAUAUUCCCUUAUGUUUUUCACUUA